CCUACGGGAGGCAGCAGUGGGGAAUAUUGGGCAAUGGGCGCAAGCCUGACCCAGCAACGCCGCGUGAAGGAAGAAGGCUUUCGGGUUGUAAACUUCUUUUCUCAGGGACGAAGCAAGUGACGGUACCUGUAGAAUAAGCCACGGCUCACUACGUGCCAGCAGCCGCGGUAAUACGAAGGUGGCAAGCGUUAUCCGGAUUUACUGGGUGUAAAGGGCGUGUAGGCGGGAAAGCAAGUCAGAUGUGAAAACCAUGGGCUCAACCUGUGGCCUGCAUUGGAAACUGUUUUUCUUGAGUGCUGGAGAGGCAGACGGAAGUCCUAGUGUAGCGGUGAAAUGCGUAGAUAUUAGGAGGAACACCAGUGGCGAAGGCGGCCUGCUGGACAGCAACUGACGCUGAGGCGCGAAAGCGUGGGGAGCAAACAGGAUUAGAUACCCGGGUAGUC
RNAcentral lists this ribosomal RNA (443 nucleotides) under uncultured bacterium. Its description in RNAcentral is "partial 16S ribosomal RNA". It matches the Rfam family "Bacterial small subunit ribosomal RNA", at positions 338 to 795 of the family's 1533-position model. The record is from RNAcentral.